RNAcentral lists this transfer RNA (67 nucleotides) under Marmota monax (woodchuck). RNAcentral's name for it is "tRNA.Gly". Lineage: Eukaryota; Metazoa; Chordata; Mammalia; Rodentia; Sciuridae. The record is from RNAcentral.
GGUUGUGGCUCAGUGGUACAGUGCUUGCCUACCAUGCAUGGGGCUCUGGGUUCAAUCCUCAACAUCA